GUGGCUAUAGCUCAGUAGUAGAGCACCUGUUUUGUAAACAGGGGGUCGGGGGUUCAAAUCCCUCUAGUCACU
RNAcentral lists this transfer RNA (72 nucleotides) under archaeon. RNAcentral's name for it is "tRNA-Thr". It matches the Rfam family "tRNA". From Rfam's summary of the family: Transfer RNA (tRNA) molecules are approximately 80 nucleotides in length. Their secondary structure includes four short double-helical elements and three loops (D, anti-codon, and T loops). RNAcentral also lists the same sequence under 1 other name. The record is from RNAcentral.